Non-coding RNA from Ornithorhynchus anatinus (platypus), 138 nucleotides. The record is from Rfam. NCBI's taxonomy places the organism in Eukaryota, Metazoa, Chordata, Mammalia, Monotremata, Ornithorhynchidae.
UUCCUCUCAGGAUUGCAGCUGGGGAAUUUCCAGUCCUCUACCAGUCUCAGCUACGGGAGGGAGAGUCAAGCAGAGACCUACCCAUUCCAUUCCUAGCUUGGGCAGUGGCUGGAGAGGGGAAGACAAUCUGCUACAAGU